CCUGAGAAACCCAAAAGAUCGAAUGGGGAGAUUCAUCGCCAGCGGCGUAGGCUUCCGUGCGGUUCGCGAUGGCCGGGACCUCGGUUCCGCGUCACGCGUCCGCUGCGGUAUGUCCGGCGACGUCGGCGUGCACUUCUCCCCUAGUAGGACGUCGCGACCCGUUGGGUGUCGGACCGAUGGCCGUUUGGUCGACUGUCUCGUCGCGUUUACGCGCGCACGUGGCAGACCGAAACGGUCGAGCGUCCGGCUGCCCGGCGGUAUAGAACGCUAUUGAACGGUAAUGAGCCGCAUUAAGUGCGUUCAGGCUCGUCGGCAGGCUCGUCUCGCCCGGAUUUACGGACCUAGCGCCGUUGCCGGGUGCUUGGCGUGGCCGUUAGUCGACGGUGUCCUCGGACUGGCUCUGAAAUUCGAAAGGAUUACCGGUCGGCGACGCUACUGCUUUGGGUACUUUC
Molecule: ribosomal RNA, 452 nt
Filed under: Omphale clypealis
Lineage: Eukaryota; Metazoa; Arthropoda; Insecta; Hymenoptera; Eulophidae
Description: eukaryotic LSU rRNA
Source: RNAcentral